Molecule: ribosomal RNA, 427 nt
Filed under: uncultured bacterium
Lineage: Bacteria
Description: partial 16S ribosomal RNA
Rfam family: Bacterial small subunit ribosomal RNA
Source: RNAcentral
UGGGGAAUAUUGCACAAUGGGCGCAAGCCUGAUGCAGCCAUGCCGCGUGUGUGAGAAGGCCUUCGGGUUGUAAAGCACUUUCAGCGAGGAGGAAGGUGGUGGACUUAAUACGUUCAUCAAUUGACGUUACUCGCAGAAGAAGCACCGGCUAACUCCGUGCCAGCAGCCGCGGUAAUACGGAGGGUGCAAGCGUUAAUCGGAAUUACUGGGCGUAAAGCGCACGCAGGCGGUUUGUUAAGUCAGAUGUGAAAUCCCCGGGCUCAACCUGGGAACUGCAUUUGAAACUGGCAAGCUAGAGUCUCGUAGAGGGGGGUAGAAUUCCAGGUGUAGCGGUGAAAUGCGUAGAGAUCUGGAGGAAUACCGGUGGCGAAGGCGGCCCCCCUGGACGAAGACUGACGCUCAGGUGCGAAAGCGUGGGGAGCAAACA